RNAcentral lists this ribosomal RNA (469 nucleotides) under Haemophilus sp. oral taxon 036. Its description in RNAcentral is "bacterial SSU rRNA". It matches the Rfam family "Bacterial small subunit ribosomal RNA", at positions 30 to 487 of the family's 1533-position model. The record is from RNAcentral. Lineage: Bacteria; Pseudomonadati; Pseudomonadota; Gammaproteobacteria; Pasteurellales; Pasteurellaceae.
AUUGAACGCUGGCGGCAGGCUUAACACAUGCAAGUCGAACGGUAGCAGGAGAAAGCUUGCUUUCUUGCUGACGAGUGGCGGACGGGUGAGUAAUGCUUGGGAAUCUGGCUUAUGGAGGGGGAUAACUACGGGAAACUGUAGCUAAUACCGCGUAGUAUCGAGAGAUGAAAGUGCGGGACCGUAAGGCCGCAUGCCAUGAGAUGAGCCCAAGUGGGAUUAGGUAGUUGGUGGGGUAAAGGCCUACCAAGCCUGCGAUCUCUAGCUGGUCUGAGAGGAUGGCCAGCCACACUGGAACUGAGACACGGUCCAGACUCCUACGGGAGGCAGCAGUGGGGAAUAUUGCGCAAUGGGGGGAACCCUGACGCAGCCAUGCCGCGUGAAUGAAGAAGGCCUUCGGGUUGUAAAGUUCUUUCGGUAUUGAGGAAGGAGUGUAUGUUAAUAGCAUACAUUAUUGACGUAAAUACAGAGA